This 374-nucleotide unclassified non-coding RNA is filed under the name soil metagenome. RNAcentral's name for it is "partial contains internal transcribed spacer 2 and large subunit ribosomal RNA". The stretch from base 1 to 120 matches the Rfam family "5.8S ribosomal RNA", at positions 35 to 154 of the family's 154-position model. The record is from RNAcentral.
GAUGAAGAACGUAGCGAAAUGCGAUAAUUAAUGUGAAUUGCAGAAUUCCGUGAAUCAUCGAGUCUUUGAACGCACAUUGCGCCUCAUGGCAUUCCGUGAGGCAUGUCCAUCUCAGCGUUAGAAAAUAUUCUCAAAUUUUAGUUUUGUGCUAAAAUUUGGAUCAUGUCAAGGAAGCUAUUACUAUUAUUGUGAUCGCUCUUUGGAAAUUGAUAGGUCUUUGAGUUGCUACUCAUAGAACGUGAUGAAUCUUUCUUCGUUCUAUUGUAAUUCACUCUGGUAGUCCUAAAACUUGUAUGCCUGUGGCAUAUCUUGUAAUUUGACCUGAGAUUGGGUAGGGAUACCCGCUGAACUUAAGCAUAUCAAUAAGCGGAGGA